Molecule: long non-coding RNA, 3375 nt
Organism: Mus pahari (shrew mouse)
Lineage: Eukaryota; Metazoa; Chordata; Mammalia; Rodentia; Muridae
Exons: 3
Source: RefSeq, a predicted model, not a curated record
GGAAUUGUUUUUCUUUUGGUUUACUUUAUUUAAGCUAUCAGACAUACCUUUUCCUUCUUAUGCAGUAAAUUACUUGGUUAGCAUUUUAGGUUGGCAUUCUACCUGACUCCAUCUCUUUUACCCGUGAUGUCAUCUGUACAUCCAUUGCCCUGUGCUCAAGUAUGUCCAGUUUUUGCUUGCCCACUAAAUUAAGUUUGCUUUUGUUAUGGGAAGGACCUCUUAGAUAUAUAAUUUGGCAAUGGCUUUUUGCAUGCUACUUUCGGGAAGGUUACUUGGUGAGCAUUUUUGAUGCGUUUCUCCACACAUCCUACAAUAUCGGUAACUGAAUCUUUAAUUCCCUUGUUAUAACAGACAGAGUUUCUUGAAUCUUCACUACAGUUCUACUCUCCUUAUAUUAUGCUUUUACAGCAAUUCCCUAGGCUCGGGAAGGUGAAAGAUGAAGUUUAUAAUGGUACUGAAUACCAAACUGUUGCUUGAUUUAUUCAGGAAGGUUAUUAUAUUCUGGGAUCAAGUGACAGCUUAAAAGCUAGUAUAAUUCAUCAUCAUCAGCUAAUUUUCACUGGGUGUCCACUGGGUGCUGAACAUCAUACAAGGCUCUUUGUCAGCAUGCAUGUGCCUGAUAAGGUUGAUGGAAUUCUAGGAAUACGUGAUCCUGUCCUCCAGGAACAUUCUGCUGUCACUGUGAGUCACUGAAGGCUCCGGAUUGUCAAGUUCUGUGUACAAAUGCAUGUAACUAAAAACACUUCAUUGCUGCCAAAAUUACUGUCAGCAAAUCUAGGUCCUAUUGUCAUUAGCAUCUACACUGUUGCCAGGGAAAUAGAGAGAUACUGAAUAGACAAGCAUAGGUGUCUGCUCUAGUGACCUUAGCUCAGCAGCAUACUUUUAUGCUUUGGGUCUGGGGCAGAUCCUUUCUGUCCUAUACACAUAAUUUCGCUCCGUGUUUUACUUAAUGAGAUCCAAUUGCCCCUCUCCUCCCAAACACCUAUGCACUUCAUCUUUCCUCGUGAGAAACAAGUCACGAAGGUUGUACAUCUAGAUCUAGUGCCUGGGUGAUUGCUGGGUGAUUCGUAUCACUCUUCUGAAAUUAUUUGGAAGACCAACCUAGAUCAAAUUUGGUACAACUUGUUUUCAUCAAUAUGUAGAUUAAGACAGUGAGGGGGAUGCAGAGCAGCCCCUGUAUGGAUGGAUAAAGAUCAGGGUGGGUCUAUGCAAUACUUGGUAGUGAGGAUGGUAUGAGCGGAGCCUGUGCACAGCAUUUCCUUGUUGAGUUUCUUCCCUGCCUUAGGCCUGUGUUCUGCUGCAUGCAGUGAGUUUGUUUACUGGAGGACUCUGCUAAGAUUUCCUUGUUUGGUAUCCAUCACAGCCAUUGCAGAGAGGAGACUUAGCAGUUCUUCUCCAGCUGAUAACAAAUAUUUAGGUUCAGGGAUUACCACAAGAGUGGAAAAGCCUCAAGAGAUGUUUUACGCAGCAGUCCAAUUUCUCCCCCUCCUCUUGUCCUCCCCUCACCCCCCUUUCCUUAUGGAGAACCUCUUCUUUAUAAUACUUUGUCCCUUUUACUUUUGAGAUCUGCUCUUCUUUGUUUUCUUUUAGUUAACACUUAACUGCUUCUUGUCACCAGCUUGCAGCCAUAGUGGGGCUUGCUCCAGGUAAUAUGUGCUUCUGUAUCUCGGGCUUUCUCCACUGGAAAGCCUCCAUCUCUGCAGUAAUCCUGUGCAGGACUUGGAGAGGUAUCUGCCGUGGUCUGACACUUCAGGUUUCCAGGGCUGUUCUUCCCCCCUCCUUAGUAUCUCCUAUUUCCUUUUGCAGUGUUUUUAAUUCCAACACUAAACGGAGACAGUAACAAAUAAUUAGCCUGCUGCAACUUAGCUAACACACAGGCUUAUCUGAAAUUCGGUGCAUCGAGAUCUCUGGCUGUUCCUUGCAAUCUUAUAUCUCAGGAUGGCUCAAAGGUUGCUUGAUCUCUGGUUUCAGAGGCUUUUUUGAAAUUUGUCUCUAUAGAGGGGUACACUAUUCUAGAUUUAUACAGUGGCCAAUUUAUUUGCAUAUGGCUAAAAAUGGCUGUGUUGCUUUUAGGAGAAUCAGCUCUUAGUAAAGCUUCCUGGGUUUUGUAGUUGUUGUUUGUAGCCCAAUACCACUUUGCUGUUUUAACUAUAGAAUGCCCAGAGUCCAGGGCCUUAGAGGAGUGAUUCCUUUGAAGAGAUAAAUUCAUUGCUCCUCAUAAAGCUCUCUGCCAUCUUAUACAAAUGUCAAUAUCUAAAAAAUACUUUUAGAAAGAUCAUACCUUAAUUGUAAUUGUUUCAUUGAGUUAUUGUUUUUAUAAUAUAAAGCAUAUUUUAGUAAUUUCCUUUUCUGUAAAUUACGUAUAAAUGCAUAUGCAUUGAUUUUUUAGGUGUGUCCAUAAUAUAAUAAGUAUUAAUAAUUAUAGAUGGCAAUCAUUUUUAUCAGUUGAUUCAGUGAUAGAAAGCUAUAGAAGUAUCUCUUGAGUCAGGAAACAGAGAGACACCAUAGCAAAUUCUAUAAUGCUCUGAGAUUACCCAGGAAGAAGGCUAAUUUAUCUCAUACAUAAAGCUUGUAGAUGACGCUUUACAAGCAAGCCUGGAAAUAUAAACUUUUCAAACCCAUGAAUAAAAUCCUCUUUACCCAGAUAAGUUAACUAGAAAGUAUGAAGCAUCAUAAGAUAUAAGGACAAACUUUUCAUUCAUUUGAAUAAUCAAGCUUUAGUUGCGCAUCUCCUGUGUCUAGAGAGAGAAAAGUAGUGGGAUUUUGUUUUUCACUGCUUAGAGUUUGAGGACUUUCUAGAGAUAUUUAUACAUCUUAACUGAAAAAUGUUCUAUGUUCCUUAAUUUUUUUCUUAAUGUAUUCAUUUUUAUUACAUUUUUCCUAAAAAAUGCAAGAUUAUGUUUUCAUUAGUUAUUUGACAGAAGUUUUUCACUAGAAGAUUGGAAAACAAAAAAUUAGUAGCAAUGUCAAAGAAUGUAAAAGCAGGAGACAAACGAGAAAAACUCCAAAUGUGGGUAAACUCAACAAGGGAAUUUAAGGGAAGGACCAAAACCUGGAACUGGGAAAUCAGUCUUCUCAUUGCCGUCAUGAAGAUUCCUGGUAUUGGAAUCUUUCAACAUCCCUGAGUUAUGCUUCUCAACUGUGGUUAAAGCUUGGUGGCUCCCAGGGGAGGUCACGCCCAAAGCCUCAGGGCCAGGCCUGGAAGGAGGGUGUAGAAACAAGUCUAUCUCUGAGAAUGUGGACCAAGGGCUGAAUCUGCCUUCAAGGCAAGGUUCCAGCACAGGAUUAGAUACUGGCCUUGAACAACAUGGAACUGCAUUUGUUUUCUGCCUCCAGGUGUUAAAUAUGUUUAAUUAUGUGAUAGUGUUCUUUAUG